This 371-nucleotide ribosomal RNA is filed under the name uncultured bacterium. Its description in RNAcentral is "bacterial SSU rRNA". It matches the Rfam family "Bacterial small subunit ribosomal RNA", at positions 527 to 896 of the family's 1533-position model. The record is from RNAcentral.
GUAGGGUGCGAGCGUUAAUCGGAAUUACUGGGCGUAAAGGGUGCGCAGGCGGCGUCGCAAGUCAGGCGUGAAAUCCCCGGGCUUAACCUGGGAACUGCACUUGAAACUACGAUGCUGGAGUAUGGCAGAGGGAGGUGGAAUUCCACGUGUAGCGGUGAAAUGCGUAGAGAUGUGGAGGAACACCGAUGGCGAAGGCAGCCUCCUGGACCAAUACUGACGCUCAUGCACGAAAGCGUGGGGAGCAAACAGGAUUAGAUACCCUGGUAGUCCACGCCCUAAACGAUGAUGACUAGUUGUUGGAGGAGUUAAAUCCUUUAGUAACGCAGCUAACGCGAGAAGUCAUCCGCCUGGGGAGUACGGUCGCAAGAUUA